UUCAAGGAGCACUCAGAAGGUUGCAAUCCCAAGCGGAACAAAAGGGAGAAUGCCCGCCAGCGAGCUGACCACGUCCUUAACUUCCUGAAGUUUGUCAGAGCCAGUUGGUCCUCAUUUCAACCUUCUCUUCCUGAAGGACUACGGUCGGAUCAGGAAAUAUACAGCCCAUCUGUCUGACCAAAACUUUAAACCGACGACAAUAAGAAGCUACAUGACAGAUGCUGUUGCAUUCGUCAAAUAUAUUAUGAGUAUGGCACCAGAAGGGGUGAAAAUAGGCGUAAAAGCCUAAAUGGGCUGCUAGUGGAACUCCAGGCGAGGAUGAGGGACGUGUUGAAAGCCGUGCUAGGGCAACAACUGGCCUAUCGCCGCAGAAAGUCCAGUAAGAUCACAUCCCCCCACCUCUAUUUGUUGACAAAUCAUAAAACACAGAACACAUGUAUAAUAAAUUGUUUCAAAUUUCAGUUGAACUGGUGAAAGCAACUCAUCAUGCAUGGUUUGUUGAAAACGCAUCAGCGAAGAUUUCUCCUGCAUUCGAUGCUCUUGAGAAAAAUCCCACAGAGAAGAAAAGGCAGAGGAUGUUUUUUGGCUCCUGUGUGGUUACAUCGUGGCGGUGACUGGGCACAGAAAAGGCGUCGUGCUCAACAUGACGCGGAAAGAGGUCAAAUUAGCAGAUAAAUUGAAAAAUGGCGAUCACAUCAUACAGGUGGAACAGCACAAAACAGCUCGCUACUUUGGUCAGGCAGCCAUACCGCUGCCAAAAAAGGAGAACGCCUGGUUCCUCAGAUACAACUGUCUCCGGUCUCGCAUAGAGGGAGGCCUGGAGGCAGAAACCUUCUUUCACACUGCCAGUGGCUCGGAGUGCCUCAAGCUCCCCGAGUACUUUAAGGAGGCGUGGGAGUCCUUGGAGUUGGGCGGGGCACAGAGCUUCAACAUCCUCCGUUCCUCUGUGGCUACUUAUGGGAGACAAGUUCUAAUCUAGUUUUUCUUAUAUACAAUAAUGUAUGGUGAAAUGUGGCAUGCAUUUUAGUCCUGUGUGUUUUCUGUUUUACAUUUUUCAUUCCUCUAGUCACAGAGGCAACUGGGCUCAAAGGCCUACAAACGAGUGGUGGCC
Long non-coding RNA from Sander lucioperca (pikeperch), 1111 nucleotides. RefSeq lists it as uncharacterized. NCBI's taxonomy places the organism in Eukaryota, Metazoa, Chordata, Actinopteri, Perciformes, Percidae. The transcript has 4 exons. The record is from RefSeq and is a predicted model, not a curated record.